RNAcentral lists this ribosomal RNA (391 nucleotides) under uncultured Lactobacillus sp. RNAcentral's name for it is "bacterial SSU rRNA". It matches the Rfam family "Bacterial small subunit ribosomal RNA", at positions 152 to 524 of the family's 1533-position model. The record is from RNAcentral. Lineage: Bacteria; Bacillati; Bacillota; Bacilli; Lactobacillales; Lactobacillaceae.
GGAAACAGAUGCUAAUACCGGAUAACAACAGAUGAUGCCUAUCAACUGUUUAAAAGAUGGUUCUGCUAUCACUCUUGGGGGAUGGACCUGCGGUGCAUUAGCUAGUUGGUAGGGGUAACGGCCUACCAAGGCGAUGAUGCAUAGCCCGAGUUGAGAGACUGAUCGGCCACAUUGGGGACUGAGACACGGCCCAAACUCCUACGAGAGGCAGCAGUAGGGAAUCUUCCACAAUGGACGCAAGUCUGAUGGAGCAACGCCGCGUGAGUGAAGAAGGGUUUCGGCUCGUAAAGCUCUGUUGUUGGUGAAGAAGGACAGGGGGUAGUAACUGAUCUUUGUUUGACGGUAAUCAAUUAGAAAGUCACGGCUAACUACGUGCCAGCAGCGCGGUAAU